UACGUAGGUCCCGAGCGUUGUCCGGAUUUAUUGGGCGUAAAGCGAGCGCAGGUGGUUUAUUAAGUCUGGUGUAAAAGGCAGUGGCUCAACCAUUGUAUGCAUUGGAGACUGGUAGACUUGAGUGCAGGUGAGGAGAGUGGAAUUCCAUGUGUAGCGGUGAAAUGCGUAGAUAUAUGGAGGAACACCGGUGGCGAAAGCGGCUCUCUGGCCUGUAACUGACACUGAGGCUCGAAAGCGUGGGGAGCAAACAGG
Molecule: ribosomal RNA, 252 nt
Filed under: uncultured bacterium
Lineage: Bacteria
Description: partial 16S ribosomal RNA
Rfam family: Bacterial small subunit ribosomal RNA
Source: RNAcentral